This 427-nucleotide ribosomal RNA is filed under the name uncultured Rhodocyclaceae bacterium. Its description in RNAcentral is "partial 16S ribosomal RNA". It matches the Rfam family "Bacterial small subunit ribosomal RNA", at positions 355 to 774 of the family's 1533-position model. The record is from RNAcentral. Lineage: Bacteria; Pseudomonadati; Pseudomonadota; Betaproteobacteria; Rhodocyclales; Rhodocyclaceae.
UGGGGAAUUUUGGACAAUGGGCGCAAGCCUGAUCCAGCCAUUCCGCGUGAGUGAAGAAGGCCUUCGGGUUGUAAAGCUCUUUCGGCAGGAACGAAACGGUCGUCUCUAACAUAGAUGGCUAAUGACGGUACCUGAAGAAGAAGCACCGGCUAACUACGUGCCAGCAGCCGCGGUAAUACGUAGGGUGCGAGCGUUAAUCGGAAUUACUGGGCGUAAAGCGUGCGCAGGCGGUUUUAUAAGACAGAUGUGAAAUCCCCGGGCUUAACCUGGGAACUGCGUUUGUGACUGUAAGACUAGAGUGCGGCAGAGGGGGGUGGAAUUCCACGUGUAGCAGUGAAAUGCGUAGAGAUGUGGAGGAACACCGAUGGCGAAGGCAGCCCCCUGGGUCGACACUGACGCUCAUGCACGAAAGCGUGGGGAGCAAACA